This 749-nucleotide ribosomal RNA is filed under the name Escherichia coli. Its description in RNAcentral is "bacterial SSU rRNA". It matches the Rfam family "Bacterial small subunit ribosomal RNA", at positions 1 to 739 of the family's 1533-position model. Lineage: Bacteria; Pseudomonadati; Pseudomonadota; Gammaproteobacteria; Enterobacterales; Enterobacteriaceae. The record is from RNAcentral.
AAAUUGAAGAGUUUGAUCAUGGCUCAGAUUGAACGCUGGCGGCAGGCCUAACACAUGCAAGUCGAACGGUAACAGGAAACAGCUUGCUGUUUCGCUGACGAGUGGCGGACGGGUGAGUAAUGUCUGGGAAACUGCCCGAUGGAGGGGGAUAACUACUGGAAACGGUAGCUAAUACCGCAUAACGUCGCAAGACCAAAGAGGGGGACCUUCGGGCCUCUUGCCAUCGGAUGUGCCCAGAUGGGAUUAGCUAGUAGGUGGGGUAACGGCUCACCUAGGCGACGAUCCCUAGCUGGUCUGAGAGGAUGACCAGCCACACUGGAACUGAGACACGGUCCAGACUCCUACGGGAGGCAGCAGUGGGGAAUAUUGCACAAUGGGCGCAAGCCUGAUGCAGCCAUGCCGCGUGUAUGAAGAAGGCCUUCGGGUUGUAAAGUACUUUCAGCGGGGAGGAAGGGAGUAAAGUUAAUACCUUUGCUCAUUGACGUUACCCGCAGAAGAAGCACCGGCUAACUCCGUGCCAGCAGCCGCGGUAAUACGGAGGGUGCAAGCGUUAAUCGGAAUUACUGGGCGUAAAGCGCACGCAGGCGGUUUGUUAAGUCAGAUGUGAAAUCCCCGGGCUCAACCUGGGAACUGCAUCUGAUACUGGCAAGCUUGAGUCUCGUAGAGGGGGGUAGAAUUCCAGGUGUAGCGGUGAAAUGCGUAGAGAUCUGGAGGAAUACCGGUGGCGAAGGCGGCCCCCUGGACGAAGA